CAUGAAGAAAGACGUGCGGAUCCUGCUGGUAGGAGAACCUAGAGUUGGGAAGACGUCACUGAUUAUGUCUGGUCAGUGAAGAAUUUCCAGAAGAGGUUCCUCCCCGGGCAGAAGAAAUCACCAUUCCAGCUGAUGUCACCCCAGAGAGAGUUCCAACACACAUUAUAGAUUACUCAGAAGCAGAACAGAGUGAUGAACAACUUCAUCAAGAAAUAUCUCAGGCUAAUGUCGUCUGUAUAGUGUAUGCCGUUAACAACAAGCAUUCUAUUGAUAAGGUAACAAGUCGAUGGAUUCCUCUCAUAAAUGAAAGAACAGACAAAGACAGCAGGCU
RNAcentral lists this long non-coding RNA (331 nucleotides) under Homo sapiens (human). RNAcentral describes it as "non-protein coding lnc-TUBA3C-16:4". The record is from RNAcentral. Lineage: Eukaryota; Metazoa; Chordata; Mammalia; Primates; Hominidae.